Molecule: ribosomal RNA, 253 nt
Filed under: uncultured bacterium
Lineage: Bacteria
Description: partial 16S ribosomal RNA
Rfam family: Bacterial small subunit ribosomal RNA
Source: RNAcentral
UACGAGAGGCCCAAACGUUAUUCGGAAUUACUGGGCUUAAAGAGUUCGUAGGCGGCGCAGAAAGUAGGGUGUGAAAGCCCUCGGCUCAACCGAGGAAUUGCGCUCUAAACUACUGUGCUUGAGGGACCUAGAGGUGAGCGGAACUGAUGGUGGAGCGGUGAAAUGCGUUGAUAUCAUCAGGAACACCGGAGGCGAAGGCGGCUCACUGGGGGUCUUCUGACGCUGAGGAACGAAAGCCGGGGGAGCGAACGGG